UCCUUAUCAAGAGUGACGGAGGGAACAGGCCCUGUGAUGUCCGGCAACCUGCGCAAUGUGCGAAAGGUGCCAAAUCCUGCGGAUAAAGCCGGCAGAUGAGGU
Molecule: non-coding RNA, 102 nt
Organism: Clostridium sp. MSTE9
Lineage: Bacteria; Bacillati; Bacillota; Clostridia; Eubacteriales; Clostridiaceae
Source: Rfam